This 61-nucleotide transfer RNA is filed under the name Nephotettix cincticeps (green rice leafhopper). Its description in RNAcentral is "tRNA-Ala". Lineage: Eukaryota; Metazoa; Arthropoda; Insecta; Hemiptera; Cicadellidae. The record is from RNAcentral.
UAAGGUUAAUCCUAAGACACCUUUUGAUUGCAAAUCAAAUAUUAUAUUUAAAUAUAACCCU